GUGCACCAGGCGCGAAACCUCCGCAAUGCGGGAAACCGCGACGGGGGACCCCGAGUGCCGUGGCAACGCCACGGCUUUUCCGGAGUGUAAAAAGCUCCGGGAAUAAGGGCUGGGCAAGGCCGGUGGCAGCCGCCGCGGUAAUACCGGCGGCCCGAGUGGUGGCCGCUAUUAUUGGGCCUAAAGCGUCCGUAGCCGGGCCCGUAAGUCCCUGGCGAAAUCCCACGGCUCAACCGUGGGGCUUGCUGGGGAUACUGCGGGUCUUGGGACCGGGAGAGGCGGGGGGUACCCCUGGGGUAGGGGUGAAAUCCUAUAAUCCCAGGGGGACCGCCAGUGGCGAAGGCGCCCCGCUGGAACGGGUCCGACGGUGAGGGACGAAGGCCAGGGGAGCAAACCGGAUUAGAUA
RNAcentral lists this ribosomal RNA (403 nucleotides) under uncultured microorganism. RNAcentral's name for it is "bacterial SSU rRNA". It matches the Rfam family "Archaeal small subunit ribosomal RNA", at positions 330 to 735 of the family's 1478-position model. The record is from RNAcentral.